GAUGAACGCUAGCUACAGGCUUAACACAUGCAAGUCGAGGGGCAGCAUGAAGUCAGCUUGCUGACUUUGAUGGCGACCGGCGCACGGGUGAGUAACGCGUAUCCAACCUUCCCCUUACUCAGGAAUAGCCCGUUGAAAGACGGAUUAAUGCCUGAUGUUCUCAUGUUGCCGCAUGGCGAUAUGAGCAAAGAUUCAUCGGUAAGGGAUGGGGAUGCGUAUGAUUAGCUUGUUGGCGGGGUAACGGCCCACCAAGGCAACGAUCAUUAGGGGUUCUGAGAGGAAGGUCCCCCANACUGGAACUGAGACACGGUCCAGACUCCUACGGGAGGCAGCAGUGAGGAAUAUUGGUCAAUGGAGGCAACUCUGAACCAGCCAAGUAGCGUGAGGGAUGACUGCCCUACGGGUUGUAAACCUCUUUUGUCGGGGAAUAAACUGCGCCACGUGUGGCGCCCUGCAUGUACCCGCAGAAUAAGCAUCGG
Molecule: ribosomal RNA, 479 nt
Filed under: uncultured bacterium
Lineage: Bacteria
Description: bacterial SSU rRNA
Rfam family: Bacterial small subunit ribosomal RNA
Source: RNAcentral